GCCCUUUUCCGGUUGAUCCUGCCGGAGGACAUUGCUAUUGGGAUUCGAUUUAGCCAUGCUAGUCGAGCGAGUUUAGACUCGCGGCGCAUAGCUCAGUAACACGUGGCCAAGCUACCCUUCAGCCAGCGAUACCCUCGGGAAACUGAGGCUAAUAGCUGAUACGAAACACCAGCUGGAAUGCGGCGUUUACGAAAGACAUCGCUGAAGGAUGCGGCUGCGGCCGAUUAGGUAGACGGUGGGGUAACGGCCCACCGUGCCAGUAAUCGGUACGGGUGAUGAGAGUCAGAGCCCGGAGACGGAAUCUGAGACAAGAUUCCGGGCCCUACGGGGCGCAGCAGGCGCGAAACCUUUACACUGCACGGAAGUGCGAUAGGGGAAUCCCAAGUGCGAGGGCAUAUUAGCCCUCGCUUUUCUCGACUCUAAGGUGGUCGACGAAUAAGAGCUGGGCAAGACCGGUGCCAGCCGCCGCGGUAAUACCGGCAGCUCAGGUGAUGUCCCAUAUUAUUGGGCCUAAAGCGUCCGUAGCUGGCCGGCCAAGUCUAUCGGGAAAUCCACCCGCCCAACGGGUGGGCGUUCCGGUAGAAAACUGGCCGGCUUGGAACCGGAAGGCUCAAGAGAGUACGUUCCGGGGUAGGAAGUGGA
This 642-nucleotide ribosomal RNA is filed under the name uncultured archaeon. Its description in RNAcentral is "bacterial SSU rRNA". It matches the Rfam family "Archaeal small subunit ribosomal RNA", at positions 1 to 636 of the family's 1478-position model. The record is from RNAcentral.